Molecule: long non-coding RNA, 2022 nt
Organism: Cynoglossus semilaevis (tongue sole)
Lineage: Eukaryota; Metazoa; Chordata; Actinopteri; Pleuronectiformes; Cynoglossidae
Exons: 2
Source: RefSeq, a predicted model, not a curated record
CCCCCCCCCCCCCCUUCUGCUGCUGCUGCUGCUGCUGCUGCCAGCAUCAAUGCCCAGUGACCACUGACAGGAUGCAUUCAUCUCAUGGGAAAGUCAGAGGAUGGAAAAACGGCUGAAUUAUAAAAGGAAGAUUUUCAUGACCCAGUUUUAGUUGAUGAGAAAACACUGGGUUUUAUACAUGAUUUAUGACUAUUUAAAUGUGAUACAAAAACUGCUAUGAAAAAACAACGUUUGCUGUUAAACUGAUUCAUAUUUAACCUAAAGGUUUAUGUGAAAAUGUUUGAUUUUUCAGACCAGGUUAGAAGAAGCUCCAGGUGAAACUUGUUGAAGCCUCUUUGGAGAAACCAGGCAGAUGAAGAAACAUCAUGGAGCUUCAGAGAUGUUUCUACUGGUUUGACGACCCAGACGCCUAGAGAAGUGAAAAGUUGUCACCUUCGAGGGUCGCCAUCUGCAUCCGUCUCACCGUGUCCACUGUCUCCUCUACUUUUUAACCGGGCUGUAACUGAUCUGGUCUGAAGGUGAAUGAAGGUCAUUAACUCAUUUUUAUUCUUCUUGCUACCAUUUUCUUUUUUGUAUUCUUUAUGGAACGCUUUACGGCUCUAAUUUAGAUGUGGGGGCAAUUAAGUUGUCACUGCCCUCUUGUGGCCAUAAAUGUGGAGAUCACUCGUAUCUCGAUUGCAUUUUUCCAUUAAAAAUAACUAAAAACUAAUCAAUUCAUUCAAGUCCCCAAGAAAUAUACAAUUAAGUUAAAGCCCCCAUUUAAACAUCAAAAACAUAGAUAUAAACAAAUAAUAAUAUAAAAUCAUUUUUAUAUUAUUGUUAUAAAAAUGGGUAAAAUAACCCAGAGAGGGACAGUGAGCGAGACAACGCCACACUCAAUGUUUUCUCGUAUCUCAAGAAAAAUCGUACAAUAGUUGCUGACUAGUAAAACUCGUAUUUUGGGGAGGUCGUAUCUUGAAGCCCCACUCUAUGUAUUUUAAUAUACAUGUUUAUCUGGAACAUAAGUCACAUGACUGCGGUGUAUAUUGAACUACUGGAAAAAGGGUUAGUUAUGUUCUGGAAUAUACUGAAAAAAAAUGUGUACUUAACUUUUGAACUUUUUAUCCUCAACUUUUCUUUAAAAAGUAACAUGUUUUUAAAUGUUUUUUUUCUCUUGUGCUCGCUCUUGUUGUUGGCUGAAGGGCCUCGGCGUCAAGUGCUGCAUCUCUGCCCUCCACUAAACCAUGAUGUGGUCGUGUCACUCUUCGGCCGUGUGAACAAAGCCUCCUUUCUUCCUCGACCACGUCCGUCCAGCAGGGUAUCACUGUCUGCUGCCUCACCGUGGCCUGCGAGGUGCGCUAUAUCCACUUUCUUUAAAUGAUUCUUUUGAUUGCCGUGGAUUGGAUUUAUCGCAGCCUUCGUCUCACCGUGUGGGGAUUUUCCCCCGCAUCCCAAUUUAAUCCUCUUUUUUGACAUUUGGCCGCCACGUUUCUUGAGUGAGUCAAAGAAGUCACAGAGAAGCUGAAUGUCAAGAUCGACGAGGUGCAACAUCAAGCGUGGGUGUGUGUGUGUGUGUGUGUGUCGCCGGACGCUGACGCACGACUCGUCCUUCACGGUACGUUGGUUUUUGGCGUUUCGUUUGACGCGAGUCUACCCUGGGAAAUCACAGGCCCCGCCCCCUUCUGUUGAGUGAAGUGUGACGUUUGACUUCAAGAAACAAACUGAAUGUCAUCAUUUCUGUAUUAUACACAAAACAAGUCAAAGCCAACAAAACUGGUUCUCACGCCACCAUAAUCUGCCACAGGAACUACAGUGAAGAUGAAGCUUGAAUCUAGAUGCAGCGAGUCGUCUGUACAGUGGAUGCGGUUGAGCUGAAGAAUAUUUGCAUCAAAGAAAUAAAUUACAAAAAAAAAUUACCCCCCCCAAAAAAAGAAAACAACUCUCAGCAUGCCGCAGGAUCAAAAACAUGCAUCGUAGGUCAAGAAACAUUUUUCGACAUGGAACUAAAACCAAAACUGACAAGAAAAAAAAAAGAAAAAAAAA